GGCUACAUACCGGACUGGCAAGGCGCAAACUUGGUAAUUUUCAAGAAGGCGAGGAUCAAACACGGAAGGGUGGCAUGUAGUAUCUGCAACAAUAUGCAGCAAAGCAAUUGGUAGCCUGAGAUGCAUAAGUAAAGAAUCCUUACAAUUGCUUUUACAAUCAAUAAAACUGCCUUAACGCUUCCUGGGACCAGAGCACUACAACAGCUUCCUAUAAGAAGGCUUAAAUGAUAACAACUCCCAGCUAAUGAUGUACUGUUAAAAUAACCACCAGAGUAGAAACUGUGUGUCACAGUGUCACCUGCUCAAGAAAAGCAUGAUGCUGUGAAUGAACUCCCUAGGCACUUAGAACACCAUAAGCGGCAUAUGCAUUGGACCUCAUUUUCUGUUCCCAGAGAUCUGCAGCAGAGAAGUUACAGAAUGUGACGACCCUAGGCUGUGUGUAGGGUCAUCAUCUGAAAAAUACAGAAACAGACCGCAUGAGUGGAAAGGGAGAUGAUCUAAAAAAAUCUCGUGUGAAAAAAGGUAAUAUGCAAGAAAAGUAGGCACACAGACAACAAGUAACGUCAACCACCAGCUGAACUUACAGAAGGGUGUGUCAAGCUUCGUCGCCAUGAUUCCGCCGCCGCUUCCCCAGUAUAGGGUGAUCAUCUUUAGGUACAGAAUGGGGAGGGACGUGCGUUACAGCUGCAAGGGCAACAAGAUGGAAGGAGGAGGAAGACGGCCGGUGAUCGACGCCGACGGCGCGUGUGUCCGCCGCAGCCGCCAUGGAAGAACACUGCAGGACGCGACAUUAAAAAAGAGAUAAAAAGAUAGCCACCGUGGGGGCCUGCAGAGGGGGAGUGGAGGGCACAGAGGCAGAAGCAAACCUAGCUCGACGCCGAGACGGAUGACGGCGGCGGCAGGGCGUCGAGGAACAGAGGAGCAGUUCGCAGCUCGGGGAUGGAGAUUGCGUCGCCGAACGGAAACCUGGACGAAUCAUGAUAUGGGACUGGACUGGGCCUUCUACCUUACGGCCCGACUACGGACGGAAAC
RNAcentral lists this long non-coding RNA (1032 nucleotides) under Triticum aestivum (bread wheat). Its description in RNAcentral is "long non-coding RNA (TAES_LNC018500)". The record is from RNAcentral. Lineage: Eukaryota; Viridiplantae; Streptophyta; Magnoliopsida; Poales; Poaceae.